Molecule: long non-coding RNA, 641 nt
Filed under: Erythranthe guttata (spotted monkey flower)
Lineage: Eukaryota; Viridiplantae; Streptophyta; Magnoliopsida; Lamiales; Phrymaceae
Description: long non-coding RNA (EGUT_LNC003348)
Source: RNAcentral
UCCAUGCUCCAUCACUAGAAUUAGUUAUGCGAAUCGAGAUUCGAACUCGGGUCACUCUCUUGCUCACGAAUAAUAAUUUGCUAAUAUUCGAGUUUUACUAAGGUGAGUUAAAUUAAGCAUAGAACAAGAAAAUAAAGAACCAAAUAAAAACAUUAAUUAAAAAUAGAGAAAAUGAAGUCAUAAAUUCAUAUAAUGAGUUAGUUCCCUUAGAUACAUACAUAGCAUGUGGUAUAUAUUAAACCCACACACCAUAUCACAUCUUAAAACCAUCAUAAACCGAAUAUUCGGCUAGCUCAUCAAAAAAAGAACUUCAUAAUAAACUUUUAAAGACCUAAAUUACAAAAUUGAGGCCACCCUAUUAUAAAAAAAAAUAAUAAAUAAUUUAUUUUUUUCAAGCAGCUGGAGCAUAAUCAUAACCUCCAUCGUCGUCAUCUCCAUCGCCUUCGAUUAUAACUGAAGCCGCAUGACAAUUAUACCCUUCAACAGGAAAAUUUUCACCAUCUAGAACCUUCUUCUGCAACGAACCAUCGGUAUUGGAAACGAUAAACAUUUUUUUUCGUAUUUUUUAAUAUGCGAAACAAGAGCUUAACGGGGGAUUAAGAGUAGUGCGAACAAUUUGAUGGUUUCGAAUUUUGAUGAAU